GCGGAUGUAGCUCAAUUGGUAGAGCAGCGGUCUCCAAAACCGCCGGUUGCAGGUUCAAGUCCUGUCAUCCGUGCCA
Molecule: transfer RNA, 76 nt
Filed under: Mycobacteroides chelonae
Lineage: Bacteria; Bacillati; Actinomycetota; Actinomycetes; Mycobacteriales; Mycobacteriaceae
Description: tRNA-Trp
Rfam family: tRNA
About the family: Transfer RNA (tRNA) molecules are approximately 80 nucleotides in length. Their secondary structure includes four short double-helical elements and three loops (D, anti-codon, and T loops).
Source: RNAcentral